CCGUAUCGGUGAAUGAAGUGCCAAGCAGAGAUAUAUCUAGAGACGCCAAGACAAGAGAAAAGUUACUGGCUGACGGUUGGCGGGAAGAGCUGAGUUCUCUCGCACCCACCGAUUCCAGCUUUGUUUGUCUUUCCAGGAGAAGUUAGUAGAAUGAAGCUGUUUUUCUGCCUUGUGGCUGUUUUGCUUUUAUGGACAAUGGCAAGUGGGGACGCUGACCAACAUCUUGAAAAUGAGAACAACGGUAAUGAAGUGGAAUCCUAUUGGAGGGAACCCUUGGGUUGGGCCCUUGAACAGAUUGGCAAGUGGUUGCAGGUGGUGAAGGAUCAAAUAUAACUCAAAACAGCCUCUUUAACUCCGCCGAAAGGACGUUAUGGCUUCACUCGGAAGAGUUCGCGCACUCUUUAAUGCCUCAUAUUUCAAUAUUUAUUGUGUUGUUAUUACUAAAAAAACUACAAAUCUCCAGCACAAUGACUGUUAAAACAUCUCAAAUUCUCCUUCACGUGCUUCAAAAAUAAAAGCGAUCUUUCAGGGUGUUU
Long non-coding RNA from Rhipicephalus microplus (southern cattle tick), 536 nucleotides. Lineage: Eukaryota; Metazoa; Arthropoda; Arachnida; Ixodida; Ixodidae. The record is from RefSeq and is a predicted model, not a curated record.